This 2905-nucleotide ribosomal RNA is filed under the name Klebsiella oxytoca 10-5249. RNAcentral's name for it is "bacterial LSU rRNA". It matches the Rfam family "Bacterial large subunit ribosomal RNA". Lineage: Bacteria; Pseudomonadati; Pseudomonadota; Gammaproteobacteria; Enterobacterales; Enterobacteriaceae. The record is from RNAcentral.
UUAAGCGACUAAGCGUACACGGUGGAUGCCCUGGCAGUCAGAGGCGAUGAAGGACGUGCUAAUCUGCGAAAAGCGUCGGUAAGGUGAUAUGAACCGUUACAGCCGGCGAUGUCCGAAUGGGGAAACCCAGUGCAAUUCGUUGCACUAUCGUUAACUGAAUACAUAGGUUAACGAGGCGAACCGGGGGAACUGAAACAUCUAAGUACCCCGAGGAAAAGAAAUCAACCGAGAUUCCCCCAGUAGCGGCGAGCGAACGGGGAGCAGCCCGGAGUCUGAAUCAGCUUGUGUGUUAGUGGAAGCGUCUGGAAAGUCGCAGGGUACAGGGUGAUACUCCCGUACACUAAAACACACAGGUUGUGAACUCGAAGAGUAGGGCGGGACACGUGGUAUCCUGUCUGAAUAUGGGGGGACCAUCCUCCAAGGCUAAAUACUCCUGACUGACCGAUAGUGAACCAGUACCGUGAGGGAAAGGCGAAAAGAACCCCGGCGAGGGGAGUGAAAAAGAACCUGAAACCGUGUACGUACAAGCAGUAGGAGCCCACUAGUUGGGUGACUGCGUACCUUUUGUAUAAUGGGUCAGCGACUUAUAUUCUGUAGCAAGGUUAACCGAAUAGGGGAGCCGCAGGGAAACCGAGUCUUAACUGGGCGUUAAGUUGCAGGGUAUAGACCCGAAACCCGGUGAUCUAGCCAUGGGCAGGUUGAAGGUUGGGUAACACUAACUGGAGGACCGAACCGACUAAUGUUGAAAAAUUAGCGGAUGACUUGUGGCUGGGGGUGAAAGGCCAAUCAAACCGGGAGAUAGCUGGUUCUCCCCGAAAGCUAUUUAGGUAGCGCCUCGUGAAUUCAUCUUCGGGGGUAGAGCACUGUUUCGGCUAGGGGGUCAUCCCGACUUACCAACCCGAUGCAAACUACGAAUACCGAAGAAUGUUAUCACGGGAGACACACGGCGGGUGCUAACGUCCGUCGUGAAGAGGGAAACAACCCAGACCGCCAGCUAAGGUCCCAAAGUCAUGGUUAAGUGGGAAACGAUGUGGGAAGGCCCAGACAGCCAGGAUGUUGGCUUAGAAGCAGCCAUCAUUUAAAGAAAGCGUAAUAGCUCACUGGUCGAGUCGGCCUGCGCGGAAGAUGUAACGGGGCUAAACCAUGCACCGAAGCUGCGGCAGCGACGCUUAUGCGUUGUUGGGUAGGGGAGCGUUCUGUAAGCCGUUGAAGGUGGCCUGUGAGGGUUGCUGGAGGUAUCAGAAGUGCGAAUGCUGACAUAAGUAACGAUAAUGCGGGUGAAAAACCCGCACGCCGGAAGACCAAGGGUUCCUGUCCAACGUUAAUCGGGGCAGGGUGAGUCGACCCCUAAGGCGAGGCCGAAAGGCGUAGUCGAUGGGAAACAGGUUAAUAUUCCUGUACUUGGUGUUACUGCGAAGGGGGGACGGAGAAGGCUAUGUUGGCCGGGCGACGGUUGUCCCGGUUUAAGCAUGUAGGCGGAUGUUCCAGGUAAAUCCGGAACGUUACUAACGCUGAGGUGUGAUGACGAGGCACUACGGUGCUGAAGUGACAAAUGCCCUGCUUCCAGGAAAAGCCUCUAAGCAUCAGGUAACAUCAAAUCGUACCCCAAACCGACACAGGUGGUCAGGUAGAGAAUACCAAGGCGCUUGAGAGAACUCGGGUGAAGGAACUAGGCAAAAUGGUGCCGUAACUUCGGGAGAAGGCACGCUGAUGGUAGGUGAAGUGACUUGCUCAUGGAGCUGAAAUCAGUCGAAGAUACCAGCUGGCUGCAACUGUUUAUUAAAAACACAGCACUGUGCAAACACGAAAGUGGACGUAUACGGUGUGACGCCUGCCCGGUGCCGGAAGGUUAAUUGAUGGGGUUAUCCUCGCGGAGAAGCUCUUGAUCGAAGCCCCGGUAAACGGCGGCCGUAACUAUAACGGUCCUAAGGUAGCGAAAUUCCUUGUCGGGUAAGUUCCGACCUGCACGAAUGGCGUAAUGAUGGCCAGGCUGUCUCCACCCGAGACUCAGUGAAAUUGAACUCGCUGUGAAGAUGCAGUGUACCCGCGGCAAGACGGAAAGACCCCGUGAACCUUUACUAUAGCUUGACACUGAACACUGGUCCUUGAUGUGUAGGAUAGGUGGGAGGCUUUGAAGUGUGGACGCCAGUCUGCAUGGAGCCGUCCUUGAAAUACCACCCUUUAAUGGCUGGUGUUCUAACGUUGGCCCGUGAUCGGGGUUGCGGACAGUGUCUGGUGGGUAGUUUGACUGGGGCGGUCUCCUCCUAAAGAGUAACGGAGGAGCACGAAGGUCAGCUAAUCCUGGUCGGACAUCAGGAGGUUAGUGCAAUGGCAUAAGCUGGCUUGACUGCGAGCGUGACGGCGCGAGCAGGUGCGAAAGCAGGUCAUAGUGAUCCGGUGGUUCUGAAUGGAAGGGCCAUCGCUCAACGGAUAAAAGGUACUCCGGGGAUAACAGGCUGAUACCGCCCAAGAGUUCAUAUCGACGGCGGUGUUUGGCACCUCGAUGUCGGCUCAUCACAUCCUGGGGCUGAAGUAGGUCCCAAGGGUAUGGCUGUUCGCCAUUUAAAGUGGUACGCGAGCUGGGUUUAGAACGUCGUGAGACAGUUCGGUCCCUAUCUGCCGUGGGCGCUGGAGAAUUGAGGGGGGCUGCUCCUAGUACGAGAGGACCGGAGUGGACGCAUCACUGGUGUUCGGGUUGUCAUGCCAAUGGCAUUGCCCGGUAGCUAAAUGCGGAAGAGAUAAGUGCUGAAAGCAUCUAAGCACGAAACUUGCCCCGAGAUGAGUUCUCCCUGACUCUUUGAGGGUCCUGAAGGAACGUUGAAGACGACGACGUUGAUAGGCCGGGUGUGUAAGCGCAGCGAUGCGUUGAGCUAACCGGUACUAAUGAACCGUGAGGCUUAACCUU